AACGAACGCUGGCGGCAUGCCUAACACAUGCAAGUCGAACGGGAUCCUAGCUUGCUAGGUGAGAGUGGCGGACGGGUGAGUAACACGUGGGAAUCUGCCUUUUGGUUCGGGAUAACCGCGGGAAACUGCGGCUAAUACCGAAUGCCCUCGAGAGAGGAAAGAUUUAUCGCCAGAAGAGGAGCCCGCGUACCGAUUAGGGUAGUUGGUGGGGUAAAAGGCCUACCAAGCCGACGAUCGGUAGCUGGUCUGAGAGGAUGAUCAGCCACACUGGGACUGAGAUACGGCCCAGACUCCUACGGGAGGCAGCAGUGGGGAAUAUUGGACAAUGGGGGCAACCCUGGAUCCAGCAAUGCCGCGUGAGU
Molecule: ribosomal RNA, 362 nt
Filed under: uncultured bacterium
Lineage: Bacteria
Description: bacterial SSU rRNA
Rfam family: Bacterial small subunit ribosomal RNA
Source: RNAcentral